This 429-nucleotide ribosomal RNA is filed under the name Bacteroidota bacterium. Its description in RNAcentral is "Bacteroidetes bacterium partial 16S ribosomal RNA". It matches the Rfam family "Bacterial small subunit ribosomal RNA", at positions 355 to 776 of the family's 1533-position model. The record is from RNAcentral. Lineage: Bacteria; Pseudomonadati; Bacteroidota.
UAGGGAAUCUUCCGCAAUGGACGCAAGUCUGACGGAGCAACGCCGCGUGAGUGAAGAAGGAUUUCGGUUCGUAAAACUCUGUUGUUAGAGAAGAACAGCGCAUAGAGUAACUGUUAUGCGUGUGACGGUAUCUAACCAGAAAGCCACGGCUAACUACGUGCCAGCAGCCGCGGUAAUACGUAGGUGGCAAGCGUUGUCCGGAUUUAUUGGGCGUAAAGCGAGCGCAGGCGGUCAAUUAAGUCUGAUGUGAAAGCCCCCGGCUCAACCGGGGAGGGUCAUUAGAAACUGGUUGACUUGAGUGCAGAAGAGGAGAGUGGAAUUCCAUGUGUAGCGGUGAAAUGCGUAGAUAUAUGGAGGAACACCAGUGGCGAAGGCGACUCUCUGGUCUGUAACUGACGCGGAGGCUCGAAAGCGUGGGUAGCAAACAGG